GAUGAACGCUGGCGGCGUGCCUAAUACAUGCAAGUCGAGCGAACAGAUAAGGAGCUUGCUCCUUUGACGUUAGCGGCGGACGGGUGAGUAACACGUGGAUAACCUACCUAUAAGACUGGGAUAACUUCGAGAAACCGGAGCUAAUACCGGAUAACAUAUUGAACCGCAUGGUUCAAUAGUGAAAGGCGGCUUUGCUGUCACUUAUAGAUGGAUCCGCGCCGUAUUAGCUAGUUGGUAAGGUAACGGCUUACCAAGGCAACGAUACGUAGCCGACCUGGGAGGGUGAUCGGCCACACUGGAACUGAGACACGGUCCAGACUCCUACGGGAGGCAGCAGUAGGGAAUCUUCCGCAAAGGGCGAAAGCCUGACGGAGCAACGCCGCGUGAGUGAUGAAGGUCUUCGGAUCGUAAAACUCUGUUAUCAGGGAAGAACAAAUGUGUAAGUAACUGUGCACAUCUUGACGGUACCUGAUCAGAAAGCCACGGCUAACUACGUG
This 497-nucleotide ribosomal RNA is filed under the name uncultured bacterium. RNAcentral describes it as "partial 16S ribosomal RNA". It matches the Rfam family "Bacterial small subunit ribosomal RNA", at positions 28 to 507 of the family's 1533-position model. The record is from RNAcentral.